CAGCCGCCCGGUAAUACGAAGGGGGCUAGCGUUGCUCGGAAUGACUGGGCGUAAAGGGCGCGUAGGCGGAUUGUCUAGUUAGGCGUGAAAUUCCUGGGCUUAACCUGGGGACUGCGCUUAAUACAGGCAGUCUAGAGUGAGGAAGAGGGUUGUGGAAUUCCCAGUGUAGAGGUGAAAUUCGUAGAUAUUGGGAAGAACACCGGUGGCGAAGGCGGCAACCUGGUCCUUGACUGACGCUGAGGCGCGAAAGCGUGGGGAGCAAACAGGAUUAGAUACCCGCGUAGUCCCUGUCUCUUAUACC
This 301-nucleotide ribosomal RNA is filed under the name uncultured bacterium. Its description in RNAcentral is "partial 16S ribosomal RNA". It matches the Rfam family "Bacterial small subunit ribosomal RNA", at positions 512 to 808 of the family's 1533-position model. The record is from RNAcentral.